This 252-nucleotide ribosomal RNA is filed under the name uncultured bacterium. Its description in RNAcentral is "partial 16S ribosomal RNA". It matches the Rfam family "Bacterial small subunit ribosomal RNA", at positions 525 to 776 of the family's 1533-position model. The record is from RNAcentral.
ACGAAGGGUGCUAGCGUUGUUCGGAAUUACUGGGCGUAAAGGGCGUGUAGGCGGAUGAUCAAGCUAGAGGUGAAAGCCCAGGGCCCAACCCUGGAACUGCCUUUAGAACUGAUUGUCUAGAAUCCGUAAGGGGAGUGUGGAAUUCCUAGUGUAGAGGUGAAAUUCGUAGAUAUUAGGAAGAACACCAGUGGCGAAGGCGGCACUCUGGUACGGUAUUGACGCUGAGGCGCGAAAGCGUGGGGAGCAAACAGG